RNAcentral lists this ribosomal RNA (422 nucleotides) under uncultured Pedobacter sp. Its description in RNAcentral is "bacterial SSU rRNA". It matches the Rfam family "Bacterial small subunit ribosomal RNA", at positions 355 to 774 of the family's 1533-position model. Lineage: Bacteria; Pseudomonadati; Bacteroidota; Sphingobacteriia; Sphingobacteriales; Sphingobacteriaceae. The record is from RNAcentral.
UAAGGAAUAUUGGUCAAUGGAGGCAACUCUGAACCAGCCAUGCCGCGUGCAGGAAGACAGCCCUCUGGGUCGUAAACUGCUUUUAUUCGGGAAUAAACCUUUCUACGUGUAGGAAGCUGAAUGUACCGAAGGAAUAAGGAUCGGCUAACUCCGUGCCAGCAGCCGCGGUAAUACGGAGGAUCCAAGCGUUAUCCGGAUUUAUUGGGUUUAAAGGGUGCGUAGGCGGCUUAUUAAGUCAGGGGUGAAAGACGGUGGCUCAACCAUCGCAGUGCCCUUGAUACUGAUGAGCUUGAAUGAACUAGAGGUAGGCGGAAUGUGACAAGUAGCGGUGAAAUGCAUAGAUAUGUCACAGAACACCGAUUGCGAAGGCAGCUUACUAUGGUUUUAUUGACGCUGAGGCACGAAAGCGUGGGGAUCAAACA